RNAcentral lists this transfer RNA (76 nucleotides) under Mycoplasmopsis bovis. Its description in RNAcentral is "Mycoplasma bovis tRNA-Gln". It matches the Rfam family "tRNA". Rfam says of the family: Transfer RNA (tRNA) molecules are approximately 80 nucleotides in length. Their secondary structure includes four short double-helical elements and three loops (D, anti-codon, and T loops). The record is from RNAcentral. Lineage: Bacteria; Bacillati; Mycoplasmatota; Mycoplasmoidales; Metamycoplasmataceae.
UGCCCCAUAGCCAAGCGGUAAGGCAACGGGUUUUGGUUCCGUCACGCGUUAGUUCAGAAUCUAACUGGGGCAGCCA